Molecule: ribosomal RNA, 468 nt
Filed under: uncultured bacterium
Lineage: Bacteria
Description: partial 16S ribosomal RNA
Rfam family: Bacterial small subunit ribosomal RNA
Source: RNAcentral
GACGAACGCUGGCGGCGUGCUUAACACAUGCAAGUCGAACGGAAAGGCCCUGGUUUUGUGGGGUGCUCGAGUGGCGAACGGGUGAGUAACACGUGAGUAACCUGCCCUUGACUUUGGGAUAACUUAAGGAAACUGGGGCUAAUACCGGAUAGGAGCUCCUGCUGCAAGGUGGGGGUUGGAAAGUUUCGGUGGUUGGGGAUGGACUCGCGGCGUAUCGGCUUGUUGGUGUGGUAGUGGCUUACCAAGGCUUUGCAGGGUAGCCUGGCUGGGAGGGUGACCGGCCACAUUGGGACGGGGAUACGGCCCAGACUCCUACGGGAGGGAGCAGUGGAGAAGAUUGUACAAUGGGAGGAAGCCUGAUGCAGCAACGCCGCGUGGGGGAUAACGGCCUUCGGGUUGUAAACCGCUUUCGCCUGUGACGAAGCGUGAGUGACGGUAAUGGGUAAAGAAGCACCGGCUAACUACGUG